Molecule: small RNA, 121 nt
Filed under: Salix viminalis (osier)
Lineage: Eukaryota; Viridiplantae; Streptophyta; Magnoliopsida; Malpighiales; Salicaceae
Source: RNAcentral
GUAGUAUUGGGAUAAUAGUUUCCAAAUACACAGAGAAGCAUUUUAUCAAAUACUUGGUGAGUUAGUUAAAUAAAAGUGCUUCCUCCUCAUCGCCCUCCCUAUCCCGGUUAUCAAUCCCAAC